Molecule: long non-coding RNA, 425 nt
Organism: Motacilla alba alba
Lineage: Eukaryota; Metazoa; Chordata; Aves; Passeriformes; Motacillidae
Exons: 3
Source: RefSeq, a predicted model, not a curated record
UGAAUAAUGAGAAACAUGAAUGGCAGCAACAGAUGCAAAUGCUAUUGAAGAGCAAUCCCAGUGUGGCUCCAGGGUAUGAAAAGGUCUUGCAGACUCUCUGACUACGCUUUUCCCAAGGAAGAAAAAUGCAGUGGCCGGUACCCAUUUCAGCUGGUUUCUCCCCAGAGAAGCAAACCUCCAUUUGUAAAACACACUGAGGUGAAGAAAUGGUCUGACUGCAUUGGGCGGCAGCACAAGCGGGAAUGAAGCGCAGCCGGGGAAUGUCCCCAGCCGCCGCUUCCCCGCCGGGGAGGUAAGGCGCCCCUUCCUGCGUCCCUUCAGCACCACCCGCCGCGGACAGGACGCGUCCCCGGCGCCGCCGCUGUCCCGUUCUCGCCCGGCGGAACCAGAGGGAAAACGCGCCGAGUUCAACCCUCUCUCGCCCC